GGGGGGGUUAGCAAUGCAGGGAGACGCUGUGUUGUGAGGCGCUCUCCCUGCUCAGCAACGAUCAGCUGUUGCAGAUAGCUGUCUCAAGACCCUUCAGUGCCGAUCUCUCUACCUUCCCCCCCUCAGAGACAGGGUACAGCAGUGGCAGCCAACCCACAGCCGAGGCCCUGCCUGCGACCCCCCUCUUCCCCUCAGAGACGUUAAAUAUUUUUUUUACUUGAUUUUUUUACCGCUGCUGUACCAUCUGGAAGUCGAGGCCCCGCCCCUCUCACAGGCUCUGCCACUACCACGGGCCGCGAUUACUUCCCUCCACCACCAACUGAGGAUCCAACACAAAGCUCCUAUAGCCAAUCAUCAGCCUCAAUCCAGAGUUCAUUGCGGCUCAAUAAAAAGACAUCCUGUUGGAUGGCCUAGUGAAAGGUGUGGACGCCGUGGCCAUCUUGUAACAGCAAGGAACCGUUAAAAACUGGUCCAGCAAGUGAAUACCUCCGUUCUAAGGAUCUGAUUGAGUACAUUGAGACUGACUGAUCUUAACCACGGGCAGACCGGACACCCAGCCAAGUAUUCAUUGUCUCCAGCUGUGCAGUGUAAAGGACAUGGACAGCAUAGCACCAUAUUCACAAGCCCUCUUAAGGGGUCAGUAAAGACAACAAUCCCCCCGGUUUACAUUGUUGGGACAUUAUGGACUGAGUUGUUGUGCAAGUGCAAGUCAGAUAUUUAAUCUGGGAAGUACUGAGGUAUUUAUGCAAGUGCAAGUAAAUUCCUUUAGCUGAAAGAGACUUACUGUAGUUUAUUUAACCAAGGCACUAUCAUUGUCAAUCAAGUCAUAUUUGUCAAGAGACACUACCAUCCCUUCGCUAGCUACACCCUCUUUGAAUAGAACUGAGAUACACUGCCAUUAUUACAACCCAUGAUUCUUUAUAUAUCUCUGUGCCAAUUCCCCCAUUGCAACGCUGUGGCAUCACAGAAUUCUACAAGAGCUCCAAUGUUAUUUGCUGGUGAAGAUCAUUAUAGCUUGGCUAGGGAAAGCUAGGAAUUUAGUAAUCAUCGUUGAAAAGUGUUUUCCACUACUCUUCUCAUCACAAUAUUAUAGACUGCGAUUCUAAUUAUAAUAUGCUAAUAUCUGCGAUUCUGAGUAUGAUAUGCUAAUAUCUGUAAUUCAGUUGAUUGUCUUUUACAUUUUUGAAUGUUCCAUUGUGAUCUGAACUGUAUCCAAUUGUCCUUUCUUUAUUUUCAUUUACUAACAAAUUUUUCUUGUGAUUUUUAUUCAGUCUUCACGCCAAUUAACCAAUCAUCAUCCUCGAUCCAGAGUUCAUUGCGGUAAAUAAAAUACAUCCUGUUGCAA
Molecule: long non-coding RNA, 1345 nt
Organism: Pseudophryne corroboree (corroboree frog)
Lineage: Eukaryota; Metazoa; Chordata; Amphibia; Anura; Myobatrachidae
Exons: 2
Source: RefSeq, a predicted model, not a curated record